UACGGAGGGGGCUAGCGUUGUUCGGAAUUACUGGGCGUAAAGCGCACGUAGGCGGAUCAGUCAGUCAGGGGUGAAAUCCCGGGGCUCAACCCCGGAACUGCCUUUGAUACUGCUGGUCUUGAGGUCGAGAGAGGUGAGUGGAAUUCCGAGUGUAGAGGUGAAAUUCGUAGAUAUUCGGAGGAACACCAGUGGCGAAGGCGGCUCACUGGCGCGAUACUGACGCUGAGGAGCGAAAGCGUGGGGAGCGAACAGG
RNAcentral lists this ribosomal RNA (253 nucleotides) under uncultured bacterium. RNAcentral describes it as "partial 16S ribosomal RNA". It matches the Rfam family "Bacterial small subunit ribosomal RNA", at positions 524 to 776 of the family's 1533-position model. The record is from RNAcentral.